This 597-nucleotide long non-coding RNA is filed under the name Hordeum vulgare. Its description in RNAcentral is "long non-coding RNA (HVUL_LNC018018)". The record is from RNAcentral. Lineage: Eukaryota; Viridiplantae; Streptophyta; Magnoliopsida; Poales; Poaceae.
CCAGGUGAUACUCACGGUCCGGCAGCUUGCCCAUGGGGUCGUGGGUCGCGAAGUAGUGCGCCGGGAAGUAGGUCGGCGCCGCCGACGUGCUGAUGCAGAUGUCCGAGAGGUGCGCGUUCUUGAGCGGGUCCACCUUGGCCUCGUACGUGUUGAAGAUGACCGGCUGCAGGUACUUGAUGUCGAACGUCGGGACUAUGAUGUUGGUGACGGUGUCGGCGACCGUCACGUCGUUGGUGAGGCUCUUGAUCUUGUCGUGCAGGAACUUACCGUCGUACUUGGGACCCUUCACCGCGCCGAACAGGUUCGCUAUCGGGGUCAGGAACCCCAACCUGUGUACGUACGUGAAGCAACGCUGGCGUCAACACGACGGUAUUGCCGGAAGGAGAGAAGAGAAGGGACACCGUGCGUGCGUGCGUGCGUGCGUGCGUACGUACCUCCUCUGCGGGAAGAUCUUGGGCCCGUUCUCAAGGUAGAAGUUGUUGAUGUCCUUGGCCUCGAAGAGUGGCCGCUUGUUCUCGCCCGGCGCCGCCAGCAUCGACGUGACCAGCGCGCCCGUGCUCGUCCCGGCGAUCACGUCGAAGUAGUCCGCGAUGCGCG